GCGGAAGUGGUGGAACUGACGUACGCGUACGCCUCAGAAGCGUAUGAGUUAACCCUUGAGGGUUCGACUCCCUUCUUCCGCACCA
RNAcentral lists this transfer RNA (85 nucleotides) under Candidatus Omnitrophota bacterium. RNAcentral describes it as "tRNA-Leu". It matches the Rfam family "tRNA". Rfam says of the family: Transfer RNA (tRNA) molecules are approximately 80 nucleotides in length. The record is from RNAcentral. Lineage: Bacteria; Pseudomonadati; Candidatus Omnitrophota.